RNAcentral lists this ribosomal RNA (433 nucleotides) under uncultured bacterium. RNAcentral's name for it is "partial 16S ribosomal RNA". It matches the Rfam family "Bacterial small subunit ribosomal RNA", at positions 29 to 507 of the family's 1533-position model. The record is from RNAcentral.
AACGAACGCUGGCGGCAUGCCUAACACAUGCAAGUCGAACGAGACCUUCGGGUGUAGUGGCGCACGGGUGCGUAACGCGUGGGAACCUGCCCUUAUGCUCGGAAUAACUCCCCGAAAGGGGUGCUAAUACCGGAUAAUGUCUUCGGACCAAAGAUUUAUCGCCUUUGGAUGGGCCCGCGUUGUAUUAGCUAGUUGGUAGGGUAAAAGCCUACCAAGGCGACGAUCCAUAGCUGGUCUGAGAGGAUGAUCCGCCACACUGGGACUGAGACACGGCCCAGACUCCUACGGGAGGCAGCAGUGGGGAAUAUUGGACAAUGGGCGAAAGCCUGAUCCAGCAAUGCCGCGUGAGUGAUGAAGGCCUUAGGGUUGUAAAGCUCUUUUACCCGGGAUGAUAAUGACAGUACCGGGAGAAUAAGCUCCGGCUAACUCCGUG